Molecule: long non-coding RNA, 432 nt
Organism: Micropterus salmoides (largemouth bass)
Lineage: Eukaryota; Metazoa; Chordata; Actinopteri; Centrarchiformes; Centrarchidae
Exons: 3
Source: RefSeq, a predicted model, not a curated record
AGCGCUCUGGAUGUGCAUGUAUUCAUUAGCCACAUCUCCAAUCUCCCAGGCCCCAUCAACGUUAUUCUUUCCCAGUCCACCAGACUUUCCUCCUGUCAUUACAGAUCCUACCUCUCCCAUCUGCCCUGCAAUUGCCUCAUUUCCCCUGACCUGGCUGUCCCCGCCCACCUCCUCAUUUGCAUCUGAUUCCCUCAUCAGCCACUCUGUGGUGUUUAUCAGAGGCGCCUGGUGCUCCAAACUAAGACUGAACCAGACAACAAAUGUGCAGUAAAACCAAAACUAGGAGCUAAAAGAGGCAAAAAAGCUCCGUCUAACUGCAGAGCUGCUUCUUCAUUAACCCUCCUACUGAACCGAAAGAAGAGAACAGGAAGACUUACUAGAUUAUAUACUACUAAAAAAAGCUGAGCGAAGCAGAAGUGAGGCUGCAGCUGA